UACGGAGGAUGCGAGCGUUAUCCGGAUUUAUUGGGUUUAAAGGGUGCGUAGGCGGACUGUUAAGUCAGCGGUAAAAGCCCGGGGCUCAACCCCGGCGAGCCGUUGAAACUGGCAGUCUUGAGUACAGUAGAGGUGGGCGGAAUUCGUGGUGUAGCGGUGAAAUGCUUAGAUAUCACGCAGAACCCCGAUUGCGAAGGCAGCAUACCGGCGCCCUACUGACGCUGAGGCACGAAAGUGCGGGUAUCGAACAGG
RNAcentral lists this ribosomal RNA (252 nucleotides) under uncultured Bacteroidales bacterium. RNAcentral's name for it is "partial 16S ribosomal RNA". It matches the Rfam family "Bacterial small subunit ribosomal RNA", at positions 524 to 776 of the family's 1533-position model. Lineage: Bacteria; Pseudomonadati; Bacteroidota; Bacteroidia; Bacteroidales. The record is from RNAcentral.